RNAcentral lists this unclassified non-coding RNA (1200 nucleotides) under Hevea brasiliensis (rubber tree). Lineage: Eukaryota; Viridiplantae; Streptophyta; Magnoliopsida; Malpighiales; Euphorbiaceae. The record is from RNAcentral.
UGCCCCUUGUUUACCAUUGCUCCCUCUCUUCUCUUCUUCUCUCUCUGUUUCUCUUCCUCCGCUCCCAUUUCAUCUCCUCUUCUCUCUUAGCUUCACUCCCUUUCUUCGUCUUCUUCUUCUUCUUCUUCUGCUGGUGCUGCUGCUCUGCUUCGUCUGUUUCACUCCUUUCAGGAGCAGAAGCGGUUUUCCAGCGACAAUUGCACAGGGCGUUGGAGGAUUACGGGUGGCUCAGGGGGUCUUGUGUACUGUAGCGAACUGAUUGAUCAGGAGAAAAAGGAAGUGAAGAAAAAGGAAUUUUGUUGCUGGUGUUGGUUAUAGGAAGCUUGAAAAUUUUGUAUGACUUUGUUGUUGAUUGAUGGGCUUGAGGAACAUAGAGAAGAUGGUUUGCUAUCAUUUGGGGUUCUGAAAGGGACAAGCCAAGGAAAAUUUUUGUUGUUGGAGAAGGAGAUCUUGCAUGGUGGGAGGAUUGGUGGUCUCUGCUGCUAUGGCUGAUCAGGAUCAGUGUGGAGGGACUCGAUCGAAUACGGCUCCUCCGGCUGGCGAUGGAAUUUCAUUGAAUGCUGGCCUGCAUGCGGUAACUGGUCCCCAGCUUAAGGAGCAGUUUACUUUUGAGAACGACUACUCUCCGAAGGUGAGGAAACCGUACACAAUCACAAAACAAAGAGAAAGAUGGACAGAAGAUGAGCAUAAGAAAUUUCUUGAAGCCUUAAAACUUUAUGGCCGGGCUUGGAGACGGAUUGAAGAGCAUGUAGGCACCAAGACUGCAGUUCAGAUUAGAAGCCAUGCUCAGAAAUUCUUCUCUAAGGUUGUGAGAGAGGCAAGUGGCAACAACACAAGUACACUGGAACCGAUUGAAAUCCCUCCUCCUCGACCAAAGCGAAAGCCUAUGCAUCCCUAUCCCCGCAAAAUGGUGCAUCCCCUUAAUAAUGAAUCCUCAAUUCCAGAGCAGCCACUACGGUCUUCAUCUCCAAACUAUUCAAUUUCAGAACAAGAAAACCAAUCGCCAACAUCAGUAUUAUCUGCAGUUGGUUCUGAUGCUCUUGGUUCAAUCGAUUCAAAUACACCAAACAGUAGCUUAUCCCCAGUUUCCUGUGCUGGUGGUUCACAUCCUGCUGACUCCUCAAUUUGUGAACCCAACUUGACACCUGAAGAUCAUGGAUCAACAUCACCAGCCCCAACAACUGCUGCAGCUCUUGAUGA